UGACGUCAAAUCAUCAUGCCCCUUAUGGACCUGGGCUACACACGUGCUACAAUGGGCGGUACAAAGGGUCGCGAACCCGCGAGGGGGAGCCAAUCCCAAAAAGCCGCUCUCAGUUCGGAUUGCAGGCUGCAACUCGCCUGCAUGAAGCCGGAAUCGCUAGUAAUCGGCGGAUCAGCAGGUCGCGGUGAAUACGUUCCCGGGCCUU
Molecule: ribosomal RNA, 205 nt
Filed under: uncultured Anoxybacillus sp.
Lineage: Bacteria; Bacillati; Bacillota; Bacilli; Caryophanales; Anoxybacillaceae
Description: partial 16S ribosomal RNA
Rfam family: Bacterial small subunit ribosomal RNA
Source: RNAcentral